This 305-nucleotide ribosomal RNA is filed under the name uncultured bacterium. RNAcentral's name for it is "bacterial SSU rRNA". It matches the Rfam family "Bacterial small subunit ribosomal RNA", at positions 335 to 639 of the family's 1533-position model. The record is from RNAcentral.
GUUCCUCGGGACGCAGCAGUGAGGAAUAUUGGUCAAUGGACGCAAGUCUGAACCAGCCAUGCCGCGUGCAGGAAGACGGUUCUAUGAGUUGUAAACUGCUUUUGUACGAGGGUAAAUCCCGAUACGUGUAUCGGGUUGAAAGUAUCGUACGAAUAAGAAUCGGCUAACUCCGUGCCAGCAGCCGCGGUAAUACGGAGGAUGCGAGCGUUAUCCGGAUUUAUUGGGUUUAAAGGGUGCGCAGGCGGAAUGUCAAGUCAGCGGUAAAAUUUCGGGGCUCAACCCCGUCGUGCCGUUGAAACUGUCGU